AGUGAACGCUGGCGGUAGGCCUAACACAUGCAAGUCGAACGGCAGCACAGUAAGAGCUUGCUCUUACGGGUGGCGAGUGGCGGACGGGUGAGGAAUACAUCGGAAUCUACUUUUUCGUGGGGGAUAACGUAGGGAAACUUACGCUAAUACCGCAUACGACCUACGGGUGAAAGCAGGGGAUCUUCGGACCUUGCGCGAUUGAAUGAGCCGAUGUCGGAUUAGCUAGUUGGCGGGGUAAAGGCCCACCAGGGCGACGAUCCGUAGCUGGUCUGAGAGGAUGAUCAGCCACACUGGAACUGAGACACGGUCCAGACUCCUACGGGAGGCAGCAGUGGGGAAUAUUGGACAAUGGGCGCAAGCCUGAUCCAGCCAUACCGCGUGGGUGAAGAAGGCCUGCGGGUUGUAAAGCCCUUUUGUUGGGAAAGAAAAGCAGCAGGUUAAUACCCCGCUGUUCUGACGGUACCCAAAGAAUAAGCACCGGCGAACUUCGU
RNAcentral lists this ribosomal RNA (491 nucleotides) under uncultured bacterium. RNAcentral describes it as "partial 16S ribosomal RNA". It matches the Rfam family "Bacterial small subunit ribosomal RNA", at positions 29 to 506 of the family's 1533-position model. The record is from RNAcentral.